AGAAUCAACGCUGGCGGCGUGCCUAACACAUGCAAGUCGCACGAGAAAGGGACUUCGGUCCUGAGUAAAGUGGCGCACGGGUGAGUAACACGUGAAUAAUCUACCUCCGAGUGGGGAAUAACUGAGAGAAAUCUAGCUAAUACCGCAUAACACUUACGAGUCAAAGCAGCAAUGCGCUUGGAGAGGAGUUCGCGGCAGAUUAGUUAGUUGGCGGGGUAAUGGCCCACCAAGACGAUGAUCUGUA
This 244-nucleotide ribosomal RNA is filed under the name uncultured bacterium. RNAcentral's name for it is "partial small subunit ribosomal RNA". It matches the Rfam family "Bacterial small subunit ribosomal RNA", at positions 26 to 285 of the family's 1533-position model. The record is from RNAcentral.